This 1346-nucleotide ribosomal RNA is filed under the name Catenotaenia apodemi. RNAcentral describes it as "partial 28S ribosomal RNA". It matches the Rfam family "Eukaryotic large subunit ribosomal RNA", at positions 76 to 786 of the family's 3401-position model. Lineage: Eukaryota; Metazoa; Platyhelminthes; Cestoda; Cyclophyllidea; Catenotaeniidae. The record is from RNAcentral.
UCCCUUAGUAACGGCGAGUGAAGAGGGAUGAGCCCAGCACCGAAGCCUGCGGCAGUUUUGCUGUUAGGCAAUGUGGUGUUCGGGUCGGCUAGCGGGACCGUAACUCCACUCGAAGUCCAGCAUUGAGUAUGGUUAUCAUUGGAUUUGGCCCAUAGAGGGUGAGAGGCCCGUACGGGUGGAGGUUCAGACAUGUGAGACGGUUCACCAGGCCGGCCUUAGAGUCGGGUUGUUUGAGAUUGCAGCCCAAAGUGGGUGGUAAACUCCAUCCAAGGCUAAAUACGGGCACGAGUCCGAUAGCGAACAAGUACCGUGAGGGAAAGUUGAAAAGUACUCUGAAGAGAGAGUAAAUAGUACGUGAAACCGCAUGCAGGUAAACGGGUGGCGUCAAACCGCGAGCCCGGAGGAUUCAGCUGGUUGGGUUGUUUUAUGGCCAGAAUAAGAUUUAGUGGUCCGCUCUCUCCUUGUGAGAGUGGAGCGAGGUACGGGGUGUGUGUAUGGCGCUUGCUAUUACACGCCUCCUCUGAGCUAUACGUGCCGGGUGGGUGCCGGAGUAUGCCACUAAUCUGUAGGGCCGCCUAGUCAGUGCAUUUUCUCCGUGGUGAACAUCACGACCGAUGGUAUUGCCAGUCCAUCGUGGUCAAGUCGUGUUCAUCUGACUGUUAAUUAUUUGUUAAUGGUUAGGUGGGCGUGAUCGCAGGUGGAGCGAGUAAACGGCGUAGUGGUGCUUCGGUAUUGCUACGUGUUAUCGUGUACUCACCGCCAACGAGUCGCUGUGUAGUAAUGUGACUAGACUGCUAGCGUCUUGGCGGACUGCGGUGGUAAAAAUGACUGUGCAAGGCAUCGGAUUUAUCCACCUCACACGUAUGUAUAUAUCAGCAAUGGUAUGUAUAUAUGUGAAUGUAUCCGGCAGGCAUUUCACAUAUGCCACAUUAUGGAGACGCGUUGCCGUGUGUAUGCAUUAUGCGUGAUUGUCGUUUUGCCUACAAAAAGUAGGUGCGGCAGUGGUGUAGUGCAUUAUUUAAAAAUGCGCGGUAUUACGCUGUUUCUGGUGCAUGUGAUACUGUGGGUGAAAUAGUCAGUGGUGCUGUGGUAGACGAGCUACCCGACCCGUCUCGAAACACGGACCAAGGAGUUUAACAUGUGUGCGAGUCAAAGGGCUUUACGAAACCCCAAGGCGUAGUGAAAGUAAAAGUUGUAUUGCAUUUAUUUGUAAUACAAUGAGGUGAGAUCCUAUUGUGUAUGUGUGUGUAUGCAUGUACAUAGGCGCAUCACCGGCCCGUCCCAUGAUGUGGUCAUUGGCAUUGAUAUGGGUGUACACUUCGGUGUAUUACUAGUGUCAGCUAAUG